GCUGUUCCCCCGGGUCCUGUCACUGGGCACUGCAGAGAAGAGGUCAGAGCCUGCCCUUCCUGUUUCCCAUCUUGAGGAAGCUGCAUUGUGGUGAAGCCUUCUCUCCUCUGCUCUUUUCUUCAUGAAGGUGAACACAAGACUAUUUUCAGAAAUAAGUGAAUUUUUCAUUAUUCUGAAGAAAAAGAUCCCAGCUUCCUCUGGAGAAAAGAGAAAAAUACUGACUGUUAAAUCAUCCUCAAAUUAUCAGAUAUCUGUGUUGUGCCAAUUGAGAUCACAAGAGAAUGACUGCAAUUGGACAAAGCUACAUCAUUUAAGAGAACUUUCAAGGCAUGCAAGACUUCCAUAGUAGAAAGAAUGUAAAUGCAUAGUUCUGCUUUUCUCAUCCAUUAACUCAAUAUCCCCAUUUUUAAGUCCUGCUCCCAAAAAAGUAGCCAUGAAGCUGGCAAAAUACCAAACACCUACCUGGAUGAACCUACACAAAAUCUCUGACACAUUGGAUAGCAUCAA
Molecule: long non-coding RNA, 507 nt
Organism: Parus major (Great Tit)
Lineage: Eukaryota; Metazoa; Chordata; Aves; Passeriformes; Paridae
Exons: 3
Source: RefSeq, a predicted model, not a curated record